RNAcentral lists this ribosomal RNA (497 nucleotides) under uncultured bacterium. RNAcentral's name for it is "partial 16S ribosomal RNA". It matches the Rfam family "Bacterial small subunit ribosomal RNA", at positions 28 to 507 of the family's 1533-position model. The record is from RNAcentral.
GAUGAACGCUGGCGGCGUGCCUAAUACAUGCAAGUCGAGCGAACGGACGAGAAGCUUGCUUUUCUGAUGUUAGCGGCGGACGGGUGAGUAACACGUGGAUAACCUACCUAUAAGACUGGGAUAACUUCGGGAAACCGGAGCUAAUACCGGAUAAUAUUUUGAACCGCAUGGUUCAAAAGUGAAAGACGGUCUUGCUGUCACUUAUAGAUGGAUCCGCGCUGCAUUGGCUAGUUGGUAAGGUAACGGCUUACCAAGGCAACGAUGCAUAGCCGACCUGAGAGGGUGAUCGGCCACACUGGAACCGAGACACGGUCCAGACUCCUACGGGAGGCAGCAGUAGGGAAUCUUCCGCAAUGGGCGAAAGCCUGACGGAGCAACGCCGCGUGAGUGAUGAAGGUCUUCGGUUCGUAAAACUCUGUUAUUAGGGAAGAACAUAUGUGUAAGUAACUGUGCACAUCUUGACGGUACCUAAUCAGAAAGCCACGGCUAACUACGUG